GCACAGGGAACACUCAUAGUGACAUGUUCAUACACUCUGAGCCAUAGAUCCUUUUCAGAAUUGCCUUCCAACAUAGUGUUGUAAGUAUAGUUUGACUGCUACCUAAAAGAAAUCUGUAUAUUAGAGGCUUUUCAUGUAUUGGGUAUUAAAAAACCUAAAGAGUAAUAAAAGUCUCAUAAAUAAAAGUCUCCUCUCUACAACCCCUCUCUGACAGCAGGAUCAAGACCUAAGUUGAGCUGGAUGGACGUCUGAUGACAAGAGGAGCAAAGUGAAAUUAAGAGAGCCGACCAGCAUCAUGCAGCGCUGGAGGAAGAGGCGCUGGGAGUGAGAGCCAGGCUGCUGGCAGUGCUCCACCACAUAAUAUUUAUGUGUGCGAUAUUUGUACACACGCC
Long non-coding RNA from Oxyura jamaicensis (ruddy duck), 392 nucleotides. RefSeq lists it as uncharacterized. The transcript has 4 exons. The record is from RefSeq and is a predicted model, not a curated record. Lineage: Eukaryota; Metazoa; Chordata; Aves; Anseriformes; Anatidae.